GUGCCUAACACAUGCAAGUCGCACGGGAUUUGGGGGCAACUCCAAGUUCAGUGGCAGACGGGUGCGUAACACGUGAAGAACUUGUCCGGUGGUGGGGGAUAGCCGGCCCAACGGCCGGGUAAUACCGCAUACGCUCGCGUGACGGCAUCGUUGCGCGAGGAAAGCAGCCGCAAGGUUGCGCCGACGGAGAGCUUCGCGGCCUAUCAGCUUGUUGGCGGGGUAAUGGCCCACCAAGGCUACGACGGGUAGCUGGUCUGAGAGGAUGAUCAGCCACAUUGGGACUGAGACACGGCCCAGA
RNAcentral lists this ribosomal RNA (298 nucleotides) under uncultured bacterium. Its description in RNAcentral is "partial 16S ribosomal RNA". It matches the Rfam family "Bacterial small subunit ribosomal RNA", at positions 44 to 335 of the family's 1533-position model. The record is from RNAcentral.